CUGGCUUUUUUCAGAUUGUAUAAAUCUUUCACCUUUUACUAAAGAUUUCUAUGCAGAAGAACAACAACAACCAAAAAACACAUUUCUUGUGGAAUGCUAUAGAAUUUA
This 108-nucleotide small nuclear RNA is filed under the name Cavia aperea (Brazilian guinea pig). Its description in RNAcentral is "U5 spliceosomal RNA (ENSCAPG00000003289.1)". It matches the Rfam family "U5 spliceosomal RNA". From Rfam's summary of the family: U5 RNA is a component of both types of known spliceosome. The precise function of this molecule is unknown, though it is known that the 5' loop is required for splice site selection and p220 binding, and that both the 3' stem-loop and the Sm site are important for Sm protein binding and cap methylation. The record is from RNAcentral. Lineage: Eukaryota; Metazoa; Chordata; Mammalia; Rodentia; Caviidae.